Non-coding RNA from Arachis ipaensis, 1438 nucleotides. NCBI's taxonomy places the organism in Eukaryota, Viridiplantae, Streptophyta, Magnoliopsida, Fabales, Fabaceae. The record is from RefSeq and is a predicted model, not a curated record.
CUAGUGUUUUUUGGAGAUUUAUUAGAUUCUGAAAAUCGGCCAGUCAAACUACAAACCGAUAAGAAUCACGGUUCAAUCAUAUGUCAAAACCGCAAAAAUAGAAAAUUGGAGUUGAACCGUUAAACCGGUGGAAACUGGUCUAUUAAACCGAACACCUGACGGAUUUUCUGAAUUUGACCAAAAACACUGCCGUUUUGUGAGCUGAUCCCCUAACCCCCUAACCAUUACCAACCCAGCAACCCUAAUUCACUACAACGGAGCAGCAGCAGCACACACUCCCUCCCUCCCAUCACCCUCGACCUCGUUGUUCCUUUCAACGCAGCGAGCUCACUCCCUCACUUCCGUUCAGCCGCCGGACUGCUCCUUCCGCCGUCGCAAGUUGGAGCUUCGAAGCUCACUCGCUCACUCCUGCUCGUGCAGCUAACGUUUCAGCAGCGGAAGCACAGUCGCCGGGCUCGCCUUCUGCCUCCGUCGCGAAGCUCUGUUCCACCGUUGCUGGCGCCAUCUCUGUUCCACCGGUCAGCGCUGCUCCCCCUCUUGCUCAGGAUCUGCUCUGCUCUGUUCUAUGCUUCUAGCUUCUAGGUAUUUUUUCAAAACAAUAAUUGUUGAAUAAUCUGUGAACUUGUUAUGGAUUGAAAAUUGUUAAUUAAUCUGUGAAGAGGAGAGCGUGAGAGAGAGGGGGUGAGGAUUACGCCAGGAGCAUUUUUGGUAUUCCAGAAAAAAAGAGAGCAAAUUAGAGAAGGAUAGUGUAUUUUGGGUUUCUUUUUGUUCACUGCUUGGAACUUUGUUGCUGAGAAUUGUACAUGUCUAAAGAUGUGCCUUCUGAUAUAAUGAUUUGCUAAAUUGUCUGACAACUGUAACAGUCUAACUACAUUGAGUAGCAUUAUGCUAGACUAUCAUUUUUUGGUUUCAACUUUCAAUUUUUCUUCAAGAGGAUUUACUUGAGUGAUAAUCCUUGUUAAUCUUUGAAAAAGUUUGUUAAUUUUUGUUAAAAUUCUGAUUGGUAUAUUGUGUCCUGAAAAUAUUACUAUCUUUUUCUUUUGUUAAAUGAUGUUGAUUUGUUGAAUGUAGUCAGUCUUUUAUCAGGGAAAGAACAAAUUGGUUAAUUCAAUGAUGACUAUUCUGAUGAGUUCAAUAAUAAUCAGCCUUGCUGUAUGCUAGUGGUAGAAGACUUGAUAUGAGGAUUUGGACAUCGUAAUGAAUAUCCGUUCUCUGUUCUUAGUUCUGAUCAGAGCAUUGAUUUUUUUUGGGAAUUCUGCUAGUGCUACUCAUAUUGAAAUUUGAAUCAUCGAAUGGUUAGCUCUGUUUUGGAUUGAAUGAUUACUGAUUAGUUGAUUCAUUUUGGUUCUGUUUUCGUUCUUUGUAUUGUGCUGUGUUCUUGCUUUGAAUAAUUAGCUUUGCUCAUUGCUGUUGUACUGUGAUGUACUCUGUUUUGUUA